This 253-nucleotide ribosomal RNA is filed under the name uncultured bacterium. RNAcentral describes it as "partial 16S ribosomal RNA". It matches the Rfam family "Bacterial small subunit ribosomal RNA", at positions 524 to 776 of the family's 1533-position model. The record is from RNAcentral.
UACGAAGGGGGCUAGCGUUGCUCGGAAUCACUGGGCGUAAAGGGCGCGUAGGCGGCCGAUCAAGUCAGGGGUGAAAGCCUGUGGCUCAACCACAGAAUUGCCUUUGAUACUGAGGGCCUUGAGACCGGAAGAGGUCGGCGGAACUGCGAGUGUAGAGGUGAAAUUCGUAGAUAUUCGCAAGAACACCAGUGGCGAAGGCGGCCGACUGGUCCGGUUCUGACGCUGAGGCGCGAAAGCGUGGGGAGCAAACAGG